ACCUCAAGGGGGGCUGUGAAUCUCGGCGCGUAAUCGGUCACCUAAGCGCUGAAGGGAGCCAGUGGUGAGACCGCCCCAUCAAGGA
Molecule: non-coding RNA, 85 nt
Filed under: Deinococcus ficus
Lineage: Bacteria; Thermotogati; Deinococcota; Deinococci; Deinococcales; Deinococcaceae
Description: c-di-GMP sequence
Rfam family: c-di-GMP-II-GAG riboswitch aptamer
Source: Rfam by way of RNAcentral